UACGUAGGGUGCGAGCGUUAAUCGGAAUUACUGGGCGUAAAGCGUGCGCAGGCGGUUUUGUAAGCCAGAUGUGAAAUCCCCGGGCUUAACCUGGGAAUGGCAUUUGGGACUGCAAGGCUCGAGUGCGGCAGAGGAGACUGGAAUUCCUGGUGUAGCAGUGAAAUGCGUUGAUAUCGAUAGGAACUCCGGUGGCGAAGGCGGCAUACUGGACCACUUCUGACGCUGAGGCGCGAAAGCCAGGGGAGCGAACGGG
Molecule: ribosomal RNA, 253 nt
Filed under: uncultured bacterium
Lineage: Bacteria
Description: partial 16S ribosomal RNA
Rfam family: Bacterial small subunit ribosomal RNA
Source: RNAcentral